RNAcentral lists this long non-coding RNA (1523 nucleotides) under Durio zibethinus. RNAcentral's name for it is "long non-coding RNA (DZIB_LNC001807)". Lineage: Eukaryota; Viridiplantae; Streptophyta; Magnoliopsida; Malvales; Malvaceae. The record is from RNAcentral.
GACAAGGACCAUGCCCACCAAAUUUCUUGACCUUAUUAAUUUAACCAAAUUUAAACAUUAAAAAAAAAAAGUAGAAUUUAAGUUCUUAAACCCUAGGCCUUGGACCAGGAAACGUCUACAAUCCCCUCUUCUUUAUCCAGCUCCAAAGCACUCCACACAGCAUCAGACCCAUCAACAAUGUUAUUCUCACAAGGUGGCUGGUAUGCAUGCUCUUCGUCGCACCCACGCCUCGAGUCACACUCGUCAACCACCUUAGCCGUCACGCUUCUUCCGUUACUGGCGGUGAUCCUUUAUGCAGCUAUUCCCAGUCGGCUCUGCUACUUCUACUACAUGAUUUGAGUUCCCACAGGAUCGUCAUUAUUGCACUUGCCUUUCAUGCAAAUGGGGUAAUCAUAUAUAGCAGUCUUUGAGGUCUAGGCAUGGACCGUUGCUUUGGGACAUGCUAGCUUUCCCUUGUUAGAAAAACUGAUGGGUCAGUUGAUAUGGAAGGAUGUGGGAUUGGAAGGAGCAUCUGUGCAUGAAUUUAGGUUCCGUUUGGUUUGCGAAAAAUUAAUUUUUGAAAAAUAAAUUUAUAUUUUUAAGUUCUUGUUUAAUGAAAAAUUGAUUGGUCAUGGAAAAAUGAUUUUUUAUCAAUAAAAAAUAAGAUCAUUUUUUUUUUAAAUUAUCUUACAAAUUUGAAAAGGAAAGAUAUUUUUUAAAAAAAAGCUGGCCAUAAGUAGAAUUAUUUAUCAAUAUUUUUAAGCAUAAUUUUACUUAUAAAUAAUAUUAUAUUAAUAAAUAAUAUAAUAAAUAUUAUUAAUUUAACUAAUAAAUAUUAUAAUAAUAUAUUUAUAAAUAAUAUACUAUUAAUAUAAUAUAUUAUUAAAUAAUAUAUAAUAUAUUAAUAAAUAAUAUAAAAGAAUAAGAAUAGUUUUAUUUUGAGUAUUUUUAUAUUAACAUAAUAUUUAAUAUUAAAUAUUAUUAUUAAAAAUAUGUUAUUUUUAAUGUUAAUAAUUUUAAUAAUAAAUAAUUUUAAUAUAUCUUAAUAAUAAAUAACUUUGAAUAUUUUAAUAGUUAUAUUAAUUUAUUUGAAAAAAAAUAGAUUUUUCAAAAAAAAAAAUAAACAACGAAAAAUAUUUUUAUUAAUUUAUCCAAACAAUUAAAAUUUUCUUUUAAUUCAGAAAAUGUAAGUAUGUUUCAAAAAUCAUUUUUCAGAAAUUAUUUACUGUUAAACAAACUUAACCUUAUAAAAUUAUAAGGAUUUAAACAGAAAUGUCCUCUUUGAUAACUGAAUUCUUGUCACAAUAUCAAUUAGAUUAUAAAGAGCACACAACUGAUUGAUGCCAAAGUCCAUGUCUUCCCCAUACUUCAUUAAAAAAAAAAAGAGUAGAUUUUAAGUUCUUCUUAAACCCUAGGCCAUGGACCAGGAAACGUCCACAAUCCCCUUAUCUUUAUCCAGCCCCAAAGCACUCCACACGGCAUCAGACCCAUCAACAAUGUUAUUCUUACAAGGUGGGCACCCCUGCCCCGAGUCACACUCGUCA